AGAUUGAACGCUGGCGGCAUGCUUUACACAUGCAAGUCGAACGGUAACAGGCCGCAAGGUGCUGACGAGUGGCGAACGGGUGAGUAAUGCAUCGGAACGUGCCCAGUCGUGGGGGAUAACGCAGCGAAAGCUGUGCUAAUACCGCAUACGAUCUAUGGAUGAAAGCGGGGGACCGAAAGGCCUCGCGCGAUUGGAGCGGCCGAUGUCAGAUUAGCUAGGUUGGUGGGGUAAGGCCCACCAAGGCGACGAUCUGUAGCUGGUCUGGAGAGGACGACCAGCCACACUGGAACUGAGACACGGUCCAGACUCCGUACGGGAGGCAGCAGUGGGGUAAUUUUGGACAAGUGGGCGCGAAGCCUGAUCCAGCAAUCGCCGCGUGCGAGGAAGAAGGCCGUUCGGGUUAGUAAC
Molecule: ribosomal RNA, 408 nt
Filed under: uncultured soil bacterium
Lineage: Bacteria
Description: bacterial SSU rRNA
Rfam family: Bacterial small subunit ribosomal RNA
Source: RNAcentral